This 78-nucleotide transfer RNA is filed under the name Ruminobacter amylophilus. RNAcentral describes it as "tRNA_Asp_GTC". It matches the Rfam family "tRNA". Rfam says of the family: Transfer RNA (tRNA) molecules are approximately 80 nucleotides in length. Their secondary structure includes four short double-helical elements and three loops (D, anti-codon, and T loops). Lineage: Bacteria; Pseudomonadati; Pseudomonadota; Gammaproteobacteria; Aeromonadales; Succinivibrionaceae. The record is from RNAcentral.
GGAGCGGUAGUUCAGCUUGGUUAGAAUGCUUGCCUGUCACGCAGGAGGUCGCGGGUUCGAGCCCCGUCCGUUCCGCCA